AGUGAACGCUGGCGGUAGGCCUAACGCAUGCAAGUCGAACGGCAGCACAGUAAGAGCUUGCUCUUACGGGUGGCGAGUGGCGGACGGGUGAGGAAUACAUCGGAAUCUACUUUUUCGUGGGGGAUAACGUAGGGAAACUUACGCUAAUACCGCAUACGACCUACGGGUGAAAGCAGGGGAUCUUCGGACCUUGCGCGAUUGAAUGAGCCGAUGUCGGAUUAGCUAGUUGGCGGGGUAAAGGCCCACCAAGGCGACGAUCCGUAGCUGGUCUGAGAGGAUGAUCAGUCACACUGGAACUGAGACACGGUCCAGACUCCUACGGGAGGCAGCAGUGGGGAAUAUUGGACAAUGGGCGCAAGCCUGAUCCAGCCAUACCGCGUGGGUGAAGAAGGCCUUCGGGUUGUAAAGCCCUUUUGUUGGGAAAGAAAAGCAGCAGGUUAAUACCCCGCUGUUCUGACGGUACCCAAAGAAUAAGCACCGGCUAACUUCGUG
This 492-nucleotide ribosomal RNA is filed under the name uncultured bacterium. RNAcentral describes it as "partial 16S ribosomal RNA". It matches the Rfam family "Bacterial small subunit ribosomal RNA", at positions 29 to 507 of the family's 1533-position model. The record is from RNAcentral.